Molecule: ribosomal RNA, 465 nt
Filed under: Vreelandella stevensii
Lineage: Bacteria; Pseudomonadati; Pseudomonadota; Gammaproteobacteria; Oceanospirillales; Halomonadaceae
Description: partial 16S ribosomal RNA
Rfam family: Bacterial small subunit ribosomal RNA
Source: RNAcentral
CCUACGGGAGGCAGCAGUGUGGAAUAUUGGACAAUGGGGGGAACCCUGAUCCAGCCAUGCCGCGUGUGUGAAGAAGGCCCUCGGGUUGUAAAGCACUUUCAGUGAGGAAGAACGCCUGGUGGUUAAUACCCAUCAGGAAAGACAUCACUCACAGAAGAAGCACCGGCUAACUCCGUGCCAGCAGCCGCGGUAAUACGGAGGGUGCGAGCGUUAAUCGGAAUUACUGGGCGUAAAGCGCGCGUAGGUGGCUUGAUAAGCCGGUUGUGAAAGCCCCGGGCUCAACCUGGGAACGGCAUCCGGAACUGUCAAGCUAGAGUGCAGGAGAGGAAGGUAGAAUUCCCGGUGUAGCGGUGAAAUGCGUAGAGAUCGGGAGGAAUACCAGUGGCGAAGGCGGCCUUCUGGACUGACACUGACACUGAGGUGCGAAAGCGUGGGUAGCAAACAGGAUUAGAUACCCCAGUAGUC